AACGAACGCUGGCGGCAGGCCUAACACAUGCAAGUCGAACGCCGUAGCAAUACGGAGUGGCAGACGGGUGAGUAACGCGUGGGAACAUACCCCUCGGUUCGGAAUAACUCAGGGAAACUUGAGCUAAUACCGGAUACGUCCGAGGUUUUGAUCGACCUUGGAGAAAGAUUUAUCGCCGAAGGAUUGGCCCGCGUCUGAUUAGCUUGUUGGUGAGGUAAUGGCUCACCAAGGCGACGAUCAGUAGCUGGUCUGAGAGGAUGAUCAGCCACAUUGGGACUGAGACACGGCCCAAACUCCUACGGGAGGCAGCAGUGGGGAAUAUUGGACAAUGGGCGAAAGCCUGAUCCAGCGAUGCCGCGUGUGUGAAGAAGGCCUGCGGGUUGUAAAGCACUUUCAGU
Molecule: ribosomal RNA, 398 nt
Filed under: uncultured bacterium
Lineage: Bacteria
Description: bacterial SSU rRNA
Rfam family: Bacterial small subunit ribosomal RNA
Source: RNAcentral